RNAcentral lists this long non-coding RNA (7803 nucleotides) under Capsicum annuum. Its description in RNAcentral is "long non-coding RNA (CANN_LNC001689)". The record is from RNAcentral. Lineage: Eukaryota; Viridiplantae; Streptophyta; Magnoliopsida; Solanales; Solanaceae.
UUUUAUACAAGCUCUCCUCAAUAUUUCAAGACAUACAAUAAUUAUCCCCGUAUAUUUUUCAUUUUGUUAGUUCUUUUUUCUCUCGUUCUUUUAAUCUUUUCCCCAUUCCAUUAUGUUUUCAUAUCCAGACCUCUCCCGAGAAGCCCCACCUAAUUCCUUCUUCGGAUCCCUCAAUUUCCACUCUUCACUAUUUUCUCCAAUCCAGAUUCAAAAAAAUAAUUUUUCCCGGCUGUAAUGGCACCUUGUUUCUAAACAACUUAUUAACUAAAAUUUACUGCAGUAACUAAAUUAAUUUUCAACACAUCUAAUUACUCAUUUUAACGGGUGCGGGGUUGAUCAAGUUGGAGGAAAAAACAAUUGAAGAAUUUGCUCACUGGAUCUGAUCAAACUUUCUCAUUGUUUCUGAGCGGAACCAAUCAUGAAUUCCUUUUCUUUCGGCAUGCGUCUUAGGUUAGUAACCCAACCCCAAUUAAAACUCAUGUUUCUUGUGCUUGUUAUUGGAUCAAAUUUGCAAAAUAUUAUCUGGGUCAUUGAUUUUUUUUUGCUGAAAUUUUCUGAUUUUCAGUCUGAAGUUUUAGAUACGAGCUCCUCUCGAUUUGGAUUCAUUAUAUAUAAUUCACUCAAAAUAAUUUUCGUUUUUCAAAUCAUUUUCGUUUGCGGUAUUUCAAAUUUUCAAAUCGAGCUUUGAAGCUUUAGUGGUUGAUCAAUCAUAGAAAGAAGGAAGUAAAAGAAGAAAGAAGAAGGUAGAAGAAGCCAUUAAUGGCUGAAUCCCAGAAGGAAGAAGAACAAGCAGUAUGAUGAAUGGCCAGUUUGGAUAAUCUUAGUAAAGUUAGGCUAAUUUCUUUGCAGACAAAAUGACCGACGGGCGUAUCGCAUAAUUAUUCCAUAAUAUUAUCGUUAGGGAAUUUCGUCUUUGAAAGGUAAUUAUAAUCAAAGAACAGUUAAACUAUGAAAUUUCUAUUUUGUGAACCAAAAAAUUAAUAUUUCUUUAUACUAUAAUAUAUCAAAAUUGAUUGUACAAUUUAACAUUUACGUUACAGAAUAUUUAAUUUAAUAAAAGGGUGCUAAUCAAUAUAUAUAUAUAUAUACUAGUUCCACCCAGGCGCGUGCCAAGACGGGUAUUAUAUUUUUAUCUUUUAAUUAAUCUUAUUUAAUGAAAUAUUAAACAUGCUUUUUUGAUAAGUAUUCAUAAUUAUUUAAGUUAAUAAUUAUCUAAUUGAAUAAUUUAAAUUAAAAUAUUAUUUUUGAGAAAUAAAUAUAUUGUCAGAGAAUUAGAUAUAUAAAUAAUUCUUGAAGAUAAAUAAUUUUUGAAGAUAAGUAUAUAAAUAAUUUUGAUUCGCCAAAAAUAAUAAAUCAAAAAAUAUGAUACUUUUAUGAAUUUGUUAGUAUAGAUAAAAUAAAUUUAUUUUGAUGAAAAAUCUUUUUUUCUUCUUAUAGAAUUAUUUACUACAACAAAUAUUUUUAUCACUUCAAGUUUAUAUUAAAAUAAUUAGAACAUUAAUUUAGAGUCUUAACACAAAUGACGAAUAAGGACAUUAAAUAGUAAUUAAAUUACAUAAUACAUUACUCAUUUACUUGUCAUAUUUAUUUUCUUACACGCCCUUUAAAGAAUAAACUUUUCUUCCCAUUAUAAUUAUUAAUUUACUUUUUUGAUGUCCACUAAGAAAAAUAGUAGUAAAUAUAAGAUAAUGCCUAUUAAGUUGUCCUAUUUAGUACUUAUAUUUUUUAAAAAAAAUUAAAUAAGAUUUGUAAAAGAUUUCAACCGUGUAGUAAAAAAUUAUUGCAAACGUUAAUUUCAUGUUAAAAGGUAUUUUGACGUAAUUUUUUUUCAAGUUAAAGUGAUUGUUUUUAAUAAAUAAAAGAAGUUAUAAUUAAAAGGCAAUCCAAUAAAUUACAAGAGGAAACCAAUUAUAAAAGGCCAAGUGAAGAUGGCCUUAACAAAAAAAGGAGAGGGCAAAAAUAAAAAUAUACAAGAAAAGGAAAUCAUCAAUGCACUACAAAUUUGACAUGUACAAUAACUUUGCUUAAAAAAAAGUGAAAUGUCUAAAAAGUCCUUGUGAGGACUACCAAACUUGUGAUUCUCCCUUAUAUAUAAGUACUAGUCUCGGGGGGGCCGUGCUAAGCUCGGGGCCAACCUCAAGAUCUAAAAAGUGAAAUGUCUAAAAAGUCCUUGUGAGGACUACCAAACUUGUGAUUCUUCCUUAUAUAUAUAUGUAUAUAUAUAUAUAUGUAUAUAUGUAUGUAUGUAUACUAGGUGGGAAUACACUGGGUAUGCUGUUGUUGAUAUGUAGGACAUACAACAAUAAAUAAUGUAAAUACAAAGUAAGAAAACAUGAAUGAAUGCAAGAAGAUGAUUUCAAUCAAACCUAAAAUAAGAAGAAAAGUAGAAGUAGAAGAAAUUGACUCACAAUUUUUAACUUCAUAAUUAUAAGUAAAGUUUAGCCGUAUCUUUAACAUCUCAAUAAACAUGGCCGAUGAGAUAUAAGAACAAUAUAAAUUUUAAUAAUAGUUAAUUUUUUAUUUAGACGAAUAUGAAUCCUUGUGGGUUAUUGCAUAUAGAUUCUAAAUAUAAUUAUAAGAUGUAGUUCUAACCAAAUUGAUUCUUAUUUACCUAUGUACGUAAUUCUAAUAAGUUGACUAAAGAAUCCUAAUUAAUUUAAGUUAUUGAUAUUACAUGUUUUUAUAUUUGGAAAAUGUAAGAAGCCCUAAUAUUCACUUUGGAAUUAACUAAAAUUGAACUUACUAAAUCUUUCCUUGUAAUUGUUUGAGUUAUGUUAAAAUUCAAAAAUUUUAAAAAUAAUGUAAAUUUUACAUUUAGAUUAAUUAUUGUAGGGUGUAGGUUGGUAGAAUCCUAUUCAACUCCUCCUUUAAUAUUUUAUAUUAAAAACUUAAAGUACUUAAACUUUACCUUAUAUAGAAAUCUGAGUAUAUGAUGUAUAAUUCCUUCAUGUUAGGUUUCUUUAUCUUAAUCAAAUAAAAAUUAACAUGGAAUUUGUGAUGCUUUUUUAUUAAUUAAAAUUUAAAAUUUACGUGUGUGGUUUUCACUUGUUAAAGGACAAUUUUCUUAAACUUUUCUUACCAUAUAUUUUAAGACUCCUUUUUCAUGUACACAGGGAUAAAACAAAACCUACUAAUAACAAUUUACCAUAUAUAUUUGAAUUACUUAAUUUUUUAAUAAUUAAUUAAUAAUUAAAGAAAAUAACUGAAAAGAUAAUUUUAUCUAUUGCGGAGUCUUUUUAUGAAAGGCAAAGAGUUGAAUCACUUUUCUAAGGGUCUUCACACUUUUAAUAUACUAGUUUAGGUGUACGCGCUUCGCGCGUGUAUCUUAGUUUAAUGAAUUCAAUUUUAUAAAAUCAUUCAAGAUAAUGAUUUUUCAAAAAGUGUAUUGCAUUUUUUGUUUGUUAGCAUCUUCACAUUACAGCUGCUUUCAGCUAUUAUUCAAUUCUAUGAAAAAAGUAGAAAUUAGCCAACCGAAAAGCAAGUAUCUUACUUUAAACACAAGAAAAUUUAUAAAGAAGAGUAUAUUCUCUUUAGUCCUCCCUUGAGCCAUUUUCCUUAGCUCUUGUCUCUUUCUUUAAUCCUCUCAAUCUCUCUUUUCAACUUAUUUAAUUUCAUAUCAACACAAUUAUUAUUUUGUUUGAAUUCUUUAGGCUUGUUAGCUUCUUCAGGAAAUUCCUUAACUAAUCUGUUCAACCCAAUUAAUUUCUCAACUUCAUUGGCUGAUGUAUGAUAUUCAAUAUGUUGGGAAGAUUCCUCGAAAAAUAUUUUUGUCAACUAACAUUUAUAUUUAGGAUUUUAUUAUAGUAGGUAGAUAGAUUAACUCAAUUUACAAUGAAUAAUGUACUUGAUUUGUCUUCAAACCUAAUUAGUAAGCCCAAAAUUGAAAGAGUCGGCUAUAAUACUAAAUUUAUAUGUUCAUCAUUCAAACAAAAGUUAUGCAAAUCAAGAUUCAACACUUAUUAUAAGCUUAUAUUUAGAACUCAACCAAUAAGUUUAAUUAAUAAUCCAAGUAUAAUACCAAUGAAAUAGUUAAAUAACAUAAUCAAAACAAAGUCACAAUUACAUAAAGGAAGAAAAAAAAAAGAGAUAAACCUUUGAUAUUUUUGACCACUUUACUUGAUGGCGACAUAUUUAUUUCUUUCAAUUUUUGAUUAAAAAUUUCCUAUUGAAAGAGAAACACGAGAAAUUAUCAAAAGAGAAAAUUAUAUUGUCAGUUGUGGAUGAUUUAAUCAUAAUUUAUAUCGUAUAAUCUUUAAAGUUAUUAACUAAAAAGAAUAAAGAAAGACAGAGAAGAUGAUAAUUAAUUAGGACUACACACACAAAAAAAGAAAAAGACAACUUGAAUUAAUAACGAAAUAAGGAGAAAAAAUAAAAGUAGAGCUAUGUUUCUUGUAAAUUUGAUCCAAAAUAUAUUAAUUAAAUAGAAUUGUAAUUUUUAUUUUAACCAAUUAAUUAAAGUUUUUAAAGAUUUAUUUAAGAUAGAAUUUUUAAUUGAUUUAAAAUUCCUAAAUUUUAGCUAAAAAAGAAAAAGAAAAAGAUAACUUGAAUUAAUAACGAAAUAAGGAGAAAAAAUAGAAGUAGAGCUAUGUUUCUUGUAAAUUUGAUCCAAAAUAUAUUAAUUAAAUAGAAUUGUAGAUUUUUUUUUCUUUAUAUAACAUAAAAUUUUAAGUGAUUUAGAAGUGUUAAAUAUUAUGAAUUCUUACUUAAAUUAAAUAACCAAAUCAAAAGAAGUUAUACCUAAAAUAAAUUGGGAACAAAACUUUUAGCAAAAAGGAUUCUUACGUGAAGAUAAAAAAUGUCAAAAUAGUACUCACCAAUUAAUUAAUAUUUUUAAAGAUUUAUUUAAGAAACAACUUUUAAUUGAUUUAAAAUGCCUAAAUUUUAGCUAUAUAAUUCUAAUAAGGAAAGGUUUAAGAACUAAAUUUUAAUGAAUUUUUAAGUUAUAAAUUUUUUUUAAAAUGUAAAAAUAUAUUUACGUCUAUUGCAUAUUUUUGUAAUGAAGGAUAAAAAGUUUAAAUUAUUUUUUUCAAGGGUUUUUACACUUUUAAUAUAUUAUAAAUAUAGAUAUAUAUAAAGGAGAAUUAAGACAGUUGUGAUGUGGCAUGUCCCUCCGUUCACAUUUAUCUUUUUUCUCUUUUUUUGACAAUUUUUUUAAUUUUUUUCUUUGUUUUCUACUCAAAAGGUUUAAACAAUAUACUAUCCAUUCAUUGAGUGUAAUUAAUAAUUAUUGUAAUUAAGCUAAUGAAAUUGAAAAGUCCCCAUCAACUAUAUAGUCUGCUGUCCAUCGUGCCAUCUCCCCUUUAUUAAUUUUGAGAAUAUUAAUUUUAUUACAUACUCAGAAAAAUCAACCGUCAUCUUUAAUAAUCUUAAGCAUACCACUUUAUUCUAUUAAUUACACCUUUUCCUUUUCUCUGAAUCUGUUUCAGAUAGAAUUUUUUAUAUACCAGGUAAAUGAGAACAAAUUGAACAUAGGUCUAAUUAUCUAAAAUGAUUUGUUGGAAUUUAUUAGCACAUGGAAAAGAUAUCUUAUUUCUCUUAUAAUUUAGGUAGUUGAAUGGUAUUUAAUGCAUCGUGCAAGUAUUCUUUUUAUUUUUUUGUUUUUAUUUCUUCUUUGUUCAUUAUUUUAUUUUCGAAAUGUUUUUAACUUCGUUUAUCUAUCUUUUUUUUUCGAAAGAAAAUUUUAUUGUGAUUUUUCUUAAGUUUUUGAUGAAUUAGAACGUUAUCGCCCGCAAGUUAUCAACAUUUUAUCAUUAAUUCAUGGUGUCAAUAGACAACAUUUAUUUGUUGCGCUUAUCUACAGAUAGCGUACGGGAUUGGCCAUCUGCUAGGAAAAAAUAGAUGGAUGAAUAAGUUCAUACUGUCCUUGAGAUCGUGAAUUGAUUUUGUUACUAUCAGUAUUUUGUGCUUUAAAUUAUGCUUUGAGUGAUAAAUAAUUAAAUGAUCUUAGUAUAGGUGCUUCAACUAUGAAUGACGGGGUCUUUGCAGGGAGUUAUUAUUUUUCUACUACUCCAAAUAGAAUUUUUCGUCAUUCACCUUCUUCCACAAAUUUUCUACUAAUAGAAUUUUUUUCAUCAUUCACCUUUUUUCACAAUUGUAAAUGCUAAUUAGGAUUUGCAUUUAAAAUACAUAAUCUGUCUUAGAAUAAAAUAUUGUUAUUAUGUAUAAAGCUGGACAUAAAUAAAGUGAUAUAUGACACUUUUCUACGACUAACGUUACUAUUUAUUUUUUUGUGAAAUUUUUGAUAGUUUUCGUCAAUUUCUUCCUUCAAAUAUUAUUUAAAUAAAGGCUUCUUGUAUGCAUUGAUUGUUAAAGAAAAAAAUAUCUCUGUGUUGAAUUUUAAGGUAAAGAAAUUGUUAUUUUCCUGCAUUAAAACUAUUCUAAAUUCAUUAGAAUUAUACAUUCAGAAAAGAAUUGAAUUGAAUAAUAAAAUUUCAGUUUCAAAAACCCCUCAUUUUCGGAUACUAAAUGAAAGAAAAAUGAUGAUUUUGCAAAUUAUAUUAUGAUACAAUAAAAAGAUUGAAGAAGUGAACAAAGAAACAAAUGAUUGGUGUUGUGAAGGCGAAGUUGCAGGUUGGCAUCGACAAACCAAUAAGUGAUCCACAUGAAGCAUCAAUUAUUCAGUAUCACCGGGCUUUUCUUUUUUGACUUUUAUUUUGGUGAAUUAUUCUUUAACAUGGUGAGCACAUAUCUAAAAGUACUGUUGAUCUUUAUUUAUAAGUCUGGAAGUGUGAAAUUGCGUUUGAAAUGUAUCAUUUCUGUGUGGUACCUAUAUUGCUUGAACCUUUUAAAAUUAUUGAUGUAUCCUCCAAAGUGUACUAUUUCUGAAGAAUUCAUAUAUAGGCGUUGAUAUUUUUAAAGAGUUUAAUUAACAUAAUGUGGUAUUGUGUAGCCUCUUUUCAGAUUUGAUUUGUGCAAGUAAUUUCAAAUAUACAUAUCAAUGAGAUGAGUGUGUGAAUAUUUGUGGUAAGUUAAAAUUGCACUGUAACGAAAAAAGUGACUAUUCACUUCGGUAUAUGUAAUUGAAAUUGUGCCAAGUAUGUCUGUCAAAAAGAGCGAAAAUCGUUUUCCCUGAAGUUUGUCUUAAAAAUCAAUCUCCAACUAUCAACAAUAAUCAACCUCCCCCCUUUAUCCCAUGCAAUAUCCAUUUUUUCCUUGUAAUAUGAUAAUGUUUAUGGACAUUGCAUAAAAACAUAAACAUUUAUCUUCAUUUUUAAAAAAAAAUCAUAUAACAAAAUCUUCAUAAAAACAUAAACAUUAUCUUCUAAGAAAAAAAUAACUAAUUAAGUAUAUAAGCUAAUGAUGAUCUUUAUGAAGUAAAUUAGCAUGAUAUAAGAAAAUAAGUUUUAUUAAUAAUAAUCAAAAAUAUAAUAUUUAUUUUACAAGUGAAAAUAAUAAGUAAUACUAAUUUUAUAAACAUAUUUCAAUGCAAAAAAUACGAACAAUAAAUGAAAGAGAUUAGUCUCUAGUAAAACCUUUAUUACAUAAAAUGGAGCCCACGUCAAAGGUGUUACGCCAUCUAAAAUAAUUGACAAAGGGUAUCAUGUUAGCUAAAAAGUUUGACAAAAAUACGCUAAAAUUUAGUUUAAGGGGUAAUAGGACCCCCGUGUAGUUGACGUGUGUCGUAGCAAAUCUGAUCAUAGUUCGGGGGCACUAGAUGUUUUUUUCGAAUAAAAAUAAGGUCAAAUUUUAAAGAUUAUAUUAUUUAUAUAAAUUAUAAAAUAUGUAAUACUCUAUUAAUGACAAUCACAACUUAUUUACUGAUAUAGACAAUAGAUAAUAUCGUUUCUUAUCACUUGAUCCUCA